CCUACGGGAGGCAGCAGUGGGGAAUAUUGGACAAUGGGCGAAAGCCUGAUCCAGCCAUGCCGCGUGUGUGAAGAAGGCCUUCGGGUUGUAAAGCACUUUCAGUGGGGAAGAAAGCCUUGGGGCUAAUACCCUCGAGGAAGGACAUCACCCACAGAAGAAGCACCGGCUAACUCCGUGCCAGCAGCCGCGGUAAUACGGAGGGUGCGAGCGUUAAUCGGAAUUACUGGGCGUAAAGCGCGCGUAGGCGGUCUGAUAAGCCGGUUGUGAAAGCCCCGGGCUCAACCUGGGAACGGCAUCCGGAACUGUCAGGCUAGAGUGCAGGAGAGGAAGGUAGAAUUCCCGGUGUAGCGGUGAAAUGCGUAGAGAUCGGGAGGAAUACCAGUGGCGAAGGCGGCCUUCUGGACUGACACUGACGCUGAGGUGCGAAAGCGUGGGAAGCAAACAGGAUUAGAUACCCCAGUAGUC
RNAcentral lists this ribosomal RNA (465 nucleotides) under Vreelandella stevensii. RNAcentral's name for it is "partial 16S ribosomal RNA". It matches the Rfam family "Bacterial small subunit ribosomal RNA", at positions 338 to 795 of the family's 1533-position model. The record is from RNAcentral. Lineage: Bacteria; Pseudomonadati; Pseudomonadota; Gammaproteobacteria; Oceanospirillales; Halomonadaceae.